CUGGCUCAGGAUGAACGCUGGCGGCGUGCUUAACACAUGCAAGUCGAGCGGAGAUAUGAAAUCGGAGAGCUUCGGCAGGAAGAUUUCAUAUUUAGCGGCGGACGGGUGAGUAACGCGUGGGAAGCUACCCAUCACUGGGGAAUAACGUUUGGAAACGAACGCUAAUACCGCAUACGCCCGAAAGGGGAAAGAUUUAUCGGUGAUGGAUGUGCCCGCGUUGGAUUAGCUUGUUGGUGGGGUAACGGCCUACCAAGGCGAUGAUCCAUAGCUGGUCUGAGAGGACGAUCAGCCACGCUGGGACUGAGACACGGCCCAGACUCCUACGGGAGGCAGCAGCUAAGAAUAUUGGACAACGGGGGAAACCCUGAUCCAGCCCAUGCCGCGUGAAUGAAGAAGGCCUUCGGAUUGUAAAGCUCUGUCUUCAGGGACGAUAAUGACGGUACCUGAGGAGGAAGCCACGGCUAACUACGUGCCAGCCGCUGC
This 483-nucleotide ribosomal RNA is filed under the name uncultured bacterium. RNAcentral's name for it is "bacterial SSU rRNA". It matches the Rfam family "Bacterial small subunit ribosomal RNA", at positions 19 to 518 of the family's 1533-position model. The record is from RNAcentral.